UUGAGGUGAAGUUCUGUUAUACACUCAUCCCCAGGCUCCAAAAGUCAGUGCAUCACAGAACUUUGUCUCGGA
This 72-nucleotide microRNA precursor is filed under the name Mesocricetus auratus (golden hamster). RNAcentral describes it as "mir-148/mir-152 microRNA precursor family". It matches the Rfam family "mir-148/mir-152 microRNA precursor family". From Rfam's summary of the family: The hairpin precursors (represented here) are predicted based on base pairing and cross-species conservation -- their extents are not known. In this case the mature sequence is excised from the 3' arm of the hairpin. The record is from Rfam by way of RNAcentral. Lineage: Eukaryota; Metazoa; Chordata; Mammalia; Rodentia; Cricetidae.